CCGGCUAACUACGUGCCAGCAGCCGCGGUAAUACGUAGGGUGCGAGCGUUAAUCGGAAUUACUGGGCGUAAAGCGUGCGCAGGCGGUUUUGUAAGACAGGCGUGAAAUCCCCGAGCUCAACUUGGGAAUGGCGCUUGUGACUGCAAGGCUAGAGUAUGUCAGAGGGGGGUAGAAUUCCACGUGUAGCAGUGAAAUGCGUAGAGAUGUGGAGGAAUACCGAUGGCGAAGGCAGCCCCCUGGGACGUCACUGACGCUCAUGCACGAAAGCGUGGGGAGCAAACAGGAUUAGAUACCCUGGUAGUCCACGCCCUAAACGAUGUCAACUAGUUGUUGGGGAUUCAUUUCUUCAGUAACGUAGCUAAC
RNAcentral lists this ribosomal RNA (363 nucleotides) under uncultured bacterium. RNAcentral describes it as "bacterial SSU rRNA". It matches the Rfam family "Bacterial small subunit ribosomal RNA", at positions 493 to 856 of the family's 1533-position model. The record is from RNAcentral.